Molecule: long non-coding RNA, 4074 nt
Organism: Branchiostoma floridae (Florida lancelet)
Lineage: Eukaryota; Metazoa; Chordata; Leptocardii; Amphioxiformes; Branchiostomatidae
Exons: 2
Source: RefSeq, a predicted model, not a curated record
CUCGCGUUGAGAAGUCUUGUUCGCACGGAAGGCCAAAACCGCACACAUUGGAUCGGCCUGAAGAACAAGUGGCGCUUUCGUCUGCGUGAGAGGCGCUGGAAAUGGGAAGAUGGGUCUAGAUUGAGCAACUACAAAGGAUGGAACCCAGGACAGCCAGAUAACCGCGGGUUUCAUCAUUGGUGUGUGCACUACUGGUGUGGUCCUACUGGUUAUCCCAUGUGGAAUGAUCGUAUGUGUGAAACAAAGCACGGGUUUAUUUGUCAACGAUCUUUUGCAUAAACGAGACAAAAGAAGCCCGGUAAAACAUACUGGCUCAUAUAGAAAUUGCUGAACUUUCUUUCCAACACUGAAAUCAAUAUAGGGACUUACCUUAAAUUUUUCGGUCAAACUCCGUCGACCUUGUUUACAGAAUGACCAUCUCUAUCUCCUGCAGUGACGUCAGGAACACGCCACUUUUGAAGGAGGGGGUCAUAAGUAUCAGAAAGUCUAUGUCGCCCCCCGUCUCUUUUGAGUGUGGGCCUGUGGGCUCUGUGGGUUCCUGACUUCACUGCUGGAGAUAGAGAGGGUCAUUCUGUGUACAAGGUCAACGGAGUUUGACCGAAAAUUUAGGGUCACACAGUCUUUUAUGGAUAAGGUAUGUUUUGGAUAGUCCAAGUUUACGUUGACGACUGAAAUGUGGGAGGGAGUGUUCCAGGGACAGUUUUUUAUGAGGCAAAUCCGAAAUGUGCAUUAAUGCAUGGUUGUGCAAUUUAGAUUUUCAAUUCGCUAUGGAAGAGAGUUAGAAGUUGGCGGAGUUGACUGUUAAAUAAUGUUAGUUAUAGUUCAUAAGUGACAUUGGCGUUAUGAAAGAAAAAUUACCAGUGACUGUGGAAACAAUAAGUCGGAGAACAUGGGUAGGAUAGAAGAUAUUCAAGGAGUUGGGUAAUAUAUAUAUUUAAUAAGAGGGUGCAACUGAUUGCAAGGCAAUUUUGCAUUCUUUUAAAGUGAACUUCAUAAUCAAAUGCACUGAACCAACUAACAUAGGAACAUUGUUCUUUUAUUACUGAGCGACCAAGUCCAAGCUAGACUGCUCUCUGAUAUAGCGAGAAGGCAUCGCGAUUGGAAAUUAUACAUAUUUCAAGAAGUCAAUUGAAAACAACGUAAGCCUAAGAAAUACUUCUUAUACUCUCACACCAAAUGGGAUUCUGAACUUUAUUCAAAAGACAAAUUCAAGCUGAACAGGAGCUAAAUACUGGGCAAACUAUCAUGGCAGAAAUGUACAAAUGGCAAUGUAAGGAUGUCUUAAAUUCGUUUGUUUCUAAACCAUUAGUAAUAUUGGUCUAUAACUAUAAAAAGGUACAGAGCGAGACAGUCUAGGAUCUGAAAAAUAUCUACAAUGAAAUCCAAACGGAGGAUGUUGUGAACUAUUUGAAUUGAAGUAGUCAUCUUUCUAAGUGUUUUAUCCUCAAUUCGGCUUUCUUUGUUAUUUGGACUUAGUUUCAAACGUUUUGUCGAAAACUAUCAAGUAAAGUACAGAACAUUUGAAAAAGUACUGCGUCAAGUAAUAUAUUAAUAAACUUUUCUUAGUAUUGUACCUUUAUUUCUGGAAGAGUAGACAAAAACUUGAGAUUUUAAACUUUUAAAGUAGAAGAUAUACUAGACAGGGGAUUCUAAGAAUUUAUUCCUCUGAAUCUUACCCAUGUUCGGGGCCAUGUUUUUACACAGUGCUAUCUGUUGUUUAUUUCUGUAACUAAAGCAGGCGAUGCUAAUGGUUGCUGUUUUCGUAGUAAUAUGGUAUGAUUAAUUACGCUGAUAUUUAUAGGAAACUUUGUAAUGAUUUUUAUGUCAAGUGCACUGGUACUUCAAUUUAAGAUGAUACCAAUAUGUGCGGGACAUUUCAGUCACAUGAUCUGAAAAACAUGGCUGCAGACAACAAAACUACUUCCUCAGAGACUUUGAGGUAAAACAUAAUGUUGUAUCCAUUUUAUUGUUUUACUUCCAGAAAAGGAGUCAAACCCCAAAUGUUUAGAUUGUAGCUCUUAGCUGUACAUAUCAUCGCUAGAAUAGCCUCUUGUUUCUACAUAUCACGAUUGUUAUCUAAAGUCUUUUUGAUUAUAUUUCAGACCUACCAUAGGUAUGGUGAAAUAUAUUGAAUACGUAAUUAUAUUUCAGCCAUACCAUAGGUAUGGUAAAAUAUAUUGUAUUCGUAAUGUUUCUUUCUCCUGUCAAAUCUUCAAAUCGAAUCAUCCCCGGAUAUUGAAAAUCGGAAUGCUCCUCUUCUUCUCCACACAUUACAUAGCUGCAAUUGAAGAUUGGAAUACUUCUCUUCUUUUUCACACAUAACACAUCUGCUAUUGAAGAUCGGAAUACUCCUCUUUUUCUCCAAGCAUAACACAGCUGCUAUUGAAGAUCGGAAUACUCCUCUUCUUCUCCACACAUAACACAGCUGAUAUUGAAGAUUAGAAUGCUCCAUUUCUUCUCCACACAUAACACUGCUAUUGAAGAUCGAAAUACUCCUCUUCUUCUUCGCACAUAACACAGCUGCUAUUUAAGAUCGGAAUACUCCUUUUCUUCUCCACACAAAACACAGCUGUUUUUAAAGAUCGGAAUACUCCCCUUCUUCUCCACACAUAACACAGCUGCUAUUGAAGAUCUGAAUACUCCCCUUCUUCUCCCCACAUAACACAUCUGCUUUUGAAGAUCGGAAUACUCCUCUUCUUCUCCACACAUAACACAGCUGCUAUUGAAGAUCUGAAUACUCCCCUUCUUCUGCACACAUAACACAGCUGCUAUUGAAGAUCUGAAUACUCCCUUUCUUCUCCACACAUAACACAGCUGCUAAUGAAGAUCGGAAUACUCCUCUUCUUUCCCACACAUAACACAGAUGCUAUAGAAGAUCGGAAUACUCCUCUUCUUCUCCACACAUAACUGCUGCUUUUAAAGAUCGGAAUAAUCCUCUUCUUCUCCACACAUAACACAGCUGCUAUUGAAGAUCGGAAUACUCCUCUUCUUCUCCACACAUAACAGAGCUAAUAUUGAAGAUCGGAAUACUCCUCUUCUUCUCCACACAUAACACAGCUGCUAUUGAAGAUCGGAAUACUCCACUUCUUCUCCACACGUAACACGGCUGUUACUGAAGAUCGGAAUACUCCUCUUCUUCUUCACACCUAACACAGCUGCUAUUGAAGAUCGGAAUACUCCUCUUCUUCUCCGCACAUAACAACAGUUCAUAUUUAAGAUCGGAAUACUUUUCUUCUCCACACAUAACACAUCUGCUUAAUUGAAGAUCGGAAUACUCCUCUUCUUCUCCACACAUAACACAUCUGUUGAAUUGAAGAUCGGAAUACUCCUCUUCUUCUCCACACAUAACACAUCUGUUGAAUUGAAGAUCGGAAUACUCCUCUUCUUCUCCACACAUAACACAUCUGUUUAAUUGAAGAUCGGAAUACUCCUUUUCUUCUCCACACAUAACACAGCUGUUUUUAAUGAUCGGAAUACUCCCCUUCUUCUCCACACAUAACACAGCUGCUAUUGAAGAUCGGGAUACUCCUCUUCUUCUCCACACAUAACACAGCUGCUAUUGAAGAUCGGAAUACUCCUCUUCUUCUUCACACCUAACACAGCUGCUAUUGAAGAUCGGAAUACUCCUCUUCUUCUCCGCACAUAACAGCUCAUAUUUAAGAUCGGAAUACUCUUCUUCUCCACACAUAACACAUCUGCUUAAUUGAAGAUCGGAAUACUCAUCUUCUUCUCCACACAUAACACAUCUGCUUAAUUGAAGAUCGGAAUACUCCUUUUCUUCUCCACACAUAACACAGCUGUUUUUAAUGAUCGGAAUACUCCCCUUCUUCUCCACACAUAACACAGCUGCUAUUUAAGAUCGAAAUACUCCUCCUCUUCUUCACACAUAACACAGCUGCUAUUGAAGAUCUGAAUACUCCUCUUCUUCUCCACAUAUAACACAGCUGCUAAUGAAGAUCGGAAUACUCCUCUUCUUUCCCACACAUAACACAGCUACUAUCGAAGAUUCGAAUACUCCUCUUCUUCUCCACACAUAACCGCUGCUUUUAAAGAUCGGAAUAAUCCUCUUCUUCU